RNAcentral lists this ribosomal RNA (492 nucleotides) under uncultured bacterium. RNAcentral's name for it is "bacterial SSU rRNA". It matches the Rfam family "Bacterial small subunit ribosomal RNA", at positions 15 to 507 of the family's 1533-position model. The record is from RNAcentral.
GAUCCUGGCUCAGGAUGAACGCUAGCGGCAGGCUUAACACAUGCAAGUCGAGGGGUAUAUGUCUUCGGAUAUAGAGACCGGCGCACGGGGUGCGUAACGCGUAUGCAAUCUACCUUUUACAGGGGAAUAGCCCAGAGAAAUUUGGAUUAAUGCCCCAUAGUAUAAUUGAAUGGCAUCAUUUAAUUAUUAAAGUCACAACGGUAAAAGAUGAGCAUGCGUCCCAUUAGUUAGUUGGUAAGGUAACGGCUUACCAAGACAAUGAUGGGUAAGGGUCCUGAGAGGGAGAUCCCCCACACUGGUACUGAGACACGGACCAGACUCCUACGGGAGGCAGCAGUGAGGAAUAUUGGACAAUGGGCGCAAGCCUGAUCCAGCCAUGCCGCGUGCAGGAAGACGGUCCUAUGGAUUGUAAACUGCUUUUAUACAGGAAGAAACACUCCGACGUGUCGGAGCUUGACGGUACUGUAGGAAUAAGGAUCGGCUAACUCCGUG